This 157-nucleotide ribosomal RNA is filed under the name Trametes versicolor. Its description in RNAcentral is "5.8S ribosomal RNA". It matches the Rfam family "5.8S ribosomal RNA". From Rfam's summary of the family: 5.8S ribosomal RNA (5.8S rRNA) is a component of the large subunit of the eukaryotic ribosome. It is transcribed by RNA polymerase I as part of the 45S precursor that also contains 18S and 28S rRNA. The record is from RNAcentral. Lineage: Eukaryota; Fungi; Basidiomycota; Agaricomycetes; Polyporales; Polyporaceae.
CAACUUUUAGCAACGGAUCUCUUGGCUCUCGCAUCGAUGAAGAACGCAGCGAAAUGCGAUAAGUAAUGUGAAUUGCAGAAUUCAGUGAAUCAUCGAAUCUUUGAAUGCACCUUGCGCUCCUUGGUAUUCCGAGGAGCAUGCCUGUUUGAGUGUCAUG